UGGGGAAUAUUGCACAAUGGGCGCAAGCCUGAUGCAGCGACGCCGCGUGGGGGAUGACGGCCUUCGGGUUGUAAACUCCNUUCGCCAGGGACGAAGCGUUUUGUGACGGUACCUGGAGAAGAAGCACCGGCUAACUACGUGCCAGCAGCCGCGGUAAUACGUAGGGUGCAAGCGUUGUCCGGAAUUACUGGGCGUAAAGAGCUCGUAGGUGGUUUGUCGCGUCGUCUGUGAAAUUCCACAGCUUAGCUGUGGGCGUGCAGGCGAUACGGGCAUAACUUGAGUACUGUAGGGGUAACUGGAAUUCCUGGUGUAGCGGUGAAAUGCGCAGAUAUCAGGAGGAACACCGAUGGCGAAGGCAGGUUACUGGGCAGUUACUGACGCUGAGGAGCGAAAGCAUGGGUAGCAAACAGGAUUAGAUACCCUGGUAGUCCAUGCCGUAAACGGUGGGCGCUAGGUGUAGGGGCCUUUUGGGGUUUCUGUGCCGUAGCUAACGCAUUAAGCGCCCCGCCUGGGGAGUACGGCCGCAAGGCUA
RNAcentral lists this ribosomal RNA (532 nucleotides) under uncultured bacterium. RNAcentral's name for it is "bacterial SSU rRNA". It matches the Rfam family "Bacterial small subunit ribosomal RNA", at positions 355 to 896 of the family's 1533-position model. The record is from RNAcentral.